GACGAACGCUGGCGGCGUGCUUGACACAUGCAAGUCGAACGGAAAGGCCCUGCUUUUGGGGGGUGCUCGAGUGGCGAACGGGUGAGUAACACGUGAGUAUCCUGCCCUUGACUUUGGGAUAACUUCAGGAAACUGGGGCUAAUACCGGAUAGGAGCUCCUGCUGCAUGGUGGGGGUUGGAAAGUUUCGGCGGUUGGGGAUGGACUCGCGGCUUAUCAGCUUGUUGGUGGGGUAGUGGCUUACCAAGGCUUUGACGGGUAGCCGGCCUGAGAGGGUGACCGGCCACAUUGGGACUGAGAUACGGCCCAGACUCCUACGGGAGGCAGCAGUGGGGAAUAUUGCACAAUGGGCGGAAGCCUGAUGCAGCAACGCCGCGUGCGGGAUGACGGCCUUCGGGUUGUAAACCGCUUUCGCCUGUGACGAAGCGUGAGUGACGGUAAUGGGUAAAGAAGCACCGGCUAACUACGUG
RNAcentral lists this ribosomal RNA (468 nucleotides) under uncultured bacterium. RNAcentral's name for it is "partial 16S ribosomal RNA". It matches the Rfam family "Bacterial small subunit ribosomal RNA", at positions 28 to 507 of the family's 1533-position model. The record is from RNAcentral.